Molecule: unclassified non-coding RNA, 317 nt
Filed under: Hevea brasiliensis (rubber tree)
Lineage: Eukaryota; Viridiplantae; Streptophyta; Magnoliopsida; Malpighiales; Euphorbiaceae
Source: RNAcentral
AGCACAGCCCCACAACCCAACUGCCUCAAAUGCUCCAGAAUCUUCAAAUUGUUAUUGGCCUUAAUUGCGUACCCAAUAAUCGAUUUCAAUCCCUCUAAAGCAUCCCUAUAAGCCUCAAAAUUCCGAGUAAUUUGUGGCUUACUGUAUAAAUAAAAGGGCCUUUUCUCAACAUUCUCCAUGAUAUCCUGGACCUUGAGGUUCUCACAAUAGAGGAACCCAUCAGAGGAUUUGGUGAAACAAUGCUUAAACGGAGUAGUUUCUUGGGUCAGGGUAUUCGCAGGGUUUUGGGACAAAACUGCUUUGAGAGGCUUUGGGCA